GUGCCUAAAACUAACAGUAAGGAAAACCGUCCAACCUUGCUAACAGCUCGGUUGAUGUGCUUCUAGGCAGUGAAGUGGGUGGGCAUUGGUACUUGAUUGUGCCGUGUCUGCUCGCUUUACGAAGCGCCAAUUUUUGAAUGGGCACAGGUCGUCCCUUCGAACUCAUGCGCACGCUCACUACUUUCGAGUUGUGUCGUAGAGUUUGGGUGAAGCGAUCUGCCCG
Molecule: small nuclear RNA, 223 nt
Organism: Ceratitis capitata (Mediterranean fruit fly)
Lineage: Eukaryota; Metazoa; Arthropoda; Insecta; Diptera; Tephritidae
Product: U12 minor spliceosomal RNA
Exons: 1
Source: RefSeq, a predicted model, not a curated record